GGGUGGAGCCUGCGGUUUAAUCGGACUCAACGCCGGAAAUCUCACCGGAUAAGACAGCUGAAUGAUAGUCGGGAUGAAGACUCUACUUGACUAGCUGAGAGGAGGUGCAUGGCCGUCGUCAGUUCGUACUGUGAAGCAUCCUGUUUAGUCAGGCAACGAGCGAGACCCAGGCCAACAGUUGCCAGCUUGACCUUCGGGUUGAUGGGGACACUGUUGGGACCGCCUCUGCUAAAGGGGAGGAAGGAAUGGGCAACGGUAGGUCAGCAUGCCCCGAAUUAUCCGGGCUACACGCGGGCUACAAUGGAUAGGACAAUGGGUUUCGACCCCGAAAGGUGAGGAUAAUCUCCUAAACCUUUUUUAGUUCGGAUGAGGGUGUAA
RNAcentral lists this ribosomal RNA (378 nucleotides) under uncultured archaeon. RNAcentral describes it as "bacterial SSU rRNA". It matches the Rfam family "Archaeal small subunit ribosomal RNA", at positions 886 to 1264 of the family's 1478-position model. The record is from RNAcentral.